RNAcentral lists this ribosomal RNA (429 nucleotides) under bacterium. RNAcentral's name for it is "partial 16S ribosomal RNA". It matches the Rfam family "Bacterial small subunit ribosomal RNA", at positions 355 to 776 of the family's 1533-position model. The record is from RNAcentral.
UAGGGAAUCUUCGGCAAUGGGGGCAACCCUGACCGAGCAACGCCGCGUGAGUGAAGAAGGUUUUCGGAUCGUAAAGCUCUGUUGUAAGAGAAGAACGUGUGUGAGAGUGGAAAGUUCACACAGUGACGGUAACUUACCCGAAAGGGACGGCUAACUACGUGCCAGCAGCCGCGGUAAUACGUAGGUCCCGAGCGUUGUCCGGAUUUAUUGGGCGUAAAGCGAGCGCAGGCGGUUUAAUAAGUCUGAAGUUAAAGGCAGUGGCUUAACCAUUGUUCGCUUCUGAAACUGUUAAACUUGAGUGCAGAAGGGGAGAGUGGAAUUCCAUGUGUAGCUGUAAAAUGCGUAGAUAUAUGGAGGAUCACCGGUGGCGAAAGCGGCUCUCUGGUCUGUAACUGACGCUGAGGCUCGAAAGCGUGGGGAGCAAACAGG